This 204-nucleotide unclassified non-coding RNA is filed under the name Hevea brasiliensis (rubber tree). The record is from RNAcentral. Lineage: Eukaryota; Viridiplantae; Streptophyta; Magnoliopsida; Malpighiales; Euphorbiaceae.
GGCGACCAUUCGACCGUUUCGUAUGUAAGUUCGACGCCUUCUGGCGCGGCGUCUCUCGAAGAAGACGAUGAGCGUGGUGCAACGGCGCCCAGCGAUCGCGACAUAGCCGGCCGCUCGAUAGCGACGAUCUCCGGUGAUAUGGCGACGGGCAGCCUUGGAGGCACAUGCUGGUUCACCCAGUCGAGCAAGGUAGCGACGUCGGCC